RNA transcript from Oxyura jamaicensis (ruddy duck), 8533 nucleotides. It is a transcript of the gene named chromosome 4 C4orf50 homolog, with no coding region annotated. Lineage: Eukaryota; Metazoa; Chordata; Aves; Anseriformes; Anatidae. The transcript has 17 exons. The record is from RefSeq and is a predicted model, not a curated record.
ACAAUAUUAAAAGCACAAUAUUUAAAGUUUCUCCUCUUAAGCAUUUUCUUGAAAAUCAUCUCUGUGUUAAAAGGGCUAUGUGCAAAACUACAGAGAGACAAGUCUGCUCCCAUGGAUGCACUGAACUCCAACACAAAUGCAGAGUGGAAUGAUGGUUAUGAUAAUAUAUCAGAUAAAGUGAAAAUUAUGAUUGAAAAAAAAUAAUACGAGGCAAAGAACAAUCAAGGCAGCACAAAGAAAGCUAGGGAAAAGAUGUAUCAUAGCAACUGCAUAUCUCACUGUUGGAGGUGCAGGAAGCAGCCUCAAAAGAAGCCAGUUGUCUCAGAUAAUAUUUUUAGGCUCUGAAGUAAGAUCAGAAAUGUAGUCUUCAUGAAGAAUCACCAGACAAGGUCAUUCAUCUGCUGAAGGAGCUGAGGCACUCAACAAGAUUAAUUCAGUCAGAUGCAGCAAACUGUGGCUCAUGAGAGGAUCUGAAUAGUCCUGUUUCCUUACACAAAGCACAAUUUAAGUUAGAAAUGAUCAAGCCGGUCACAAGGAUCAUGCAAAAGUUUGGAAACUCUAUGCCCAGAAGAAUGUGUUGCUCACAAUGUUUUGUUCAAAAAGAAACAAGCAUUUAAAGAAUGUGUUAAAGCUUUUAGCAGUGUGAUGACAGAAUGUGGAAAAAUUAGAGGUCUUCACUGCAAAAGGAAAAGUUUUGUCAGAACUCUGAAGAGAAGGACCAUAACCAGAGACAGUCCGAGCUUUGGAUAACGGAACCAGGUACCAGUGAUGGAAAAGCAAUUGGAAAGUGAGAUUAGAUUUACUUGGUGAAGAAACACUUACUUCUACUAAAUAUGUUUGCUCAUCACUGCUUUGGAAAUUGAACCAGAAGCAUAAAUGUGGGAUGGUCAUUCAGCAUGUGGCUGCAAUGGUCUUGGGAAACCAAGGAGGUACUUGGGCUGGUAAAUCUAGAGAAGUUCUUCACUUCGAAUUAGAAGAUGCAAGCAAACCAGAUGAACAAUCAAACAGUGCUGAACAAGAGAAUUUGAACCUCAGAAUAAAAGAGCUGGAGAAAUCGGAGCAAGAACUGAAAGGUAUUUUAGAAGAAUACAUGGAUUCAGAUUCCAUGCUAAGAAAUAGGAUGAAAGAGCUGGAGCUGUCACACAAAACCCUUCUUGUGAUGAUUGAUCAACUAAAUGUGAAGGUGCACCUGGUUGAAAAUGCAAAUGUGCGUGUUAAGGGGAAACUGCGAGUCAUUUCGGAGGAGCUGAUGAACUUGGUUGAAAACCAAGAAAAGUCAGAGAAGAAGCAAAGGGGAAAACUACACUGGCUUCAGGAACAGCUGAAGACAAAAGAAGAUGAAGUAAAAACCCAGUCAGAAUAUUUUGAGCACUACAAACAAAGGCAGAAGCGACAGACAACAAUGCAGAGAGAAAGGGAAUGUUACCUUCGGGGAGAGGUAUCUAGGCUGGAAAAGCAAGUGUUAGAUCUCAAUGCCCAUAUUGCUCUUUUAACAUCUGAGUUAGAAGAGGGAAUGGUGCAGUGUCUCCAACAGAAGCUGGAAUCAGCAUCCACUGGGACUCAGGGCUAUAAACUUUCUGAAAUGGAAGUAACAGAAUUGAAAACUUGCAUUGAAAACAUUGAGCAUGACAUGAAAAGCCAUGUUGAGUCAUUUCAGCAAAAUCUGAAGUUCUUACGGGAAAAAGGGGAGGACAACAGAAGAGAACAGGCAGACCUGGUGACUGAACUCCAGUGCUCCCAGGACACUGAAGACUUUCUCAGAAGAAAAUUGGAAGAAUCUUGCAAUUAUGUUUAUAAUCUGAAAUUAUCUGAAAUCAAACUACAGAAACAAGUGGAAGACCUUUUGGAUGAAAACAGGGUUUUAAAAGAUCAAGGUAGGGUGAAGUUAAAAAAGAAGGAAGAAAAGGACUCACAAAGGACUCACAGAUUGGAAAAUGGAGACAGCAGUGCUGACCUGAAUGGUGACCUAGUCCAGGACGACGUUCAAAAUCUGAAAUGGGGAGCAGUAUCAGAUACACUGAGAAACAGAGCUACACAAACUCCAGUUGUACUGCUACAUGCCAAAGAGUACGAAACACCAGGAUGUAGUUUUGAUGGGCUAAAGCAGACAGAGAAGCUAUGGGAAGAAAUUCUACCAGUUUUGGAACAAAAUUCCGGACCCUUUGCAAACAUUUCUGAAGAACUUGGCUUAGCCGAGAUCAAACUGGUCACUCUUGGGACAAAAAGGCCAGGAGGUCUAGAAGCUAGUUUUACUUUGUUUAGAUGUACCCCGAGCUAUCCUGUAGCAAGACUGUUUUCACCUUGCUCUGAGAAGUUAACUAAUGAUGAGACAUGUAAGGAAAUCAGAGAUGAAGAAUACUUUUCUCCCUUGAAGAAACAAACUAUAAAUCUACCAACAAAGAUGUUCCCUGUUUCUGUGGUAGAAGCUUUAAUGAGAAACGAGCCCCACCUUACCUUGUUAAAACCUGAAAGCUACCAUGUAGAAGCUGUUACAAUGGUGAAGAAAGUGAGGAGUUUGAAUUUCAGUAAUGCAGAUACCGCUCUUUGCUCUGAUGGCCUCUGUGUUGCAGAACAAUGUUUCUCUGAAAAAGCUUCUGUAGUUCUUCAUGGAAACCCCCCUUGCUUUGUGAGUGACAAUUUCACAUCCUAUCUAGAAAAAUGUUGUUUGGAAAAACAUCAGCAAAGCAAACAAAUUCUACCAAAAAAUAAAUGUAAAAGUCUGGAUAGGGUUAAUGAUAUAAAGUAUCACCAAAAAAUCUUUAGAAGGAGAGUUAAAGGAGAGGAAAUACAUACUGAGAAAGCCCAAGCACAACAAGUUACCUGUGUUUUUGAGGAAAAUUCUGAAGUUUUAAAUAAAACUGUGUUGAUUAGGCCUGGGAAGCAUGUAAUGGACACUAAAGACAAACCAGAUAGCCCAGAAGGUGUCCACAAUAUAUCUGUAGAUUUUAAAGACUUACAGAAUCAUUUCAAUGGGAGUCUUGAACUGAAGAAGAAACAAAAAACCCUCUCAACUUGCAUCUCUGAUGUGACCAGGACAUGCAAUAGAGGAAACAUAAUGAAAGUGGAAGAGAAAGGGGAGAAACCUCAUAAACCAACUUACCAGAUAAACUCUUCCAGGAAUAUUGGACUGAAAGAAAAGAAAGACCAGUCUGUGAAAUUACAUAAAUCAAAAGAGAAGAAUUUCUCAUGUCAAAAGGUGUCUGCUGAAAACACACAAUAUGCAUAUCCUCAGAAAAGUUUUUGGUCAGAGGAAGAGAGUUAUCCACUAAAAAUACUGUCUCCUAUGCAAAAGAGGGCUGUGUGUGUAAGCAAAGAGUUCCUGCCAGAAAGUGAUUUUUAUGAGUAUUUCUGUCAUCUGUCACCACCGGAAGCAGUUAAUGAGCAUAACGUGAAAAUACAUACAUUGAAAAAAGCAGUGGCUAUGUGUUCUCAGAGAAUAUUUCUACUGAUGCAAGAGAAUGAAAAUUACUCAGAAAAGGUCUGUUUAUUACAAGAGGAGAAUGAGAGAUAUGUUCACAAGAUGUGUGCACUGGAAGAGGAGAUGAAUGCAUAUUUUCAAUAUGCUUUAGAAGUAGAUGAAGCUAACAUUGCUUCUUUUCAAAGUUUACUUAAUGAGAAUGAAGUUGCUGGUAUAUACAACAUAUGUAACAACAUAUCAGAAGAAAAUAGAAUGAGCCCAGGAACAAUAUUUGCUGAAAACUUCUCUAAGAACCUCUCAUAUGUUGAAGAUAAAAAUAGGAAUUCUGAAAAAGAUUCAUUGAGAGUUGAAUCAAAUCACCUUCCCAAAAGUGUUUUAUCCCUUAGUGAAAGGAAAAUGAGGUAUUUACAGCUGCUUUCUGACUUGAAAGAAGAAAGAAGUAGAUGCUUCAUAGAAAUAGCUAAAUUAUUACAAGACAAGGAGAACUAUGUAGCAAAAUAUAAUGAAUUAAUACAAGAGAGAGAGAGAAACUUGCACAGAAUAUCUCUUUUAGAAGAUGAAAAAGAAACUUUAUUGAGAAGUUUGGCAGAAGUAAAAUGUCAGCAAGACAAAUACCAAGCCUUGGUUUCAGAACUUCAAGAGUGCAAAACCAGCUGUUAUCAAACUAUUUCUGAUUUACAGGAGGAAAAAUGUGUACUAAAAAGAACUAUAGACAGAAUCAAGAAAGAAACUGCAGAACAAUUUAAUGAAUUUCAAAAAGCAAAUGCAAACCUUAUUGUAGAAAACAACAAAUUAAAAGAAUUAAUGUCUUCUUCGUGUUUCACCUAUGAAGAUCUGAGAAAAGAAAAAUGCUUGGGAACAAAGGAAAAUGUAGUAAACCUAAAAGAAGAAAAUAGAAGUCAACAACAUGAUCUUAAUCCAAAGAAAGUUGAAACAUCAUGUAGUAUAACUCAGACUGAAGAAGAAGGAGUAGACCCCUCCAGCUAUUUCCCCAGCAAAGAGGGCAGCAUGUUUGAAAGCUACAGUGUGAUGAAAGAGCAAGUGGAAAAUGCAAAAGAAGAACUAAAAAUAAAGCAAAAGGAAUUGGAAAAAUCAAAAAAAGAGGCUCAGAAGUGGUACAGGGAACUUGGCUUUGCUGAAACAAGGUAUGAAGAAAUCAAAACUCGUUUGAUACAGGUUCUGUCUGAAUUAGACCAUCUUAAACAAGAAGCUGGGGACAAAAUGCUUCAAAAGCAGCACUGCAAAUUCAUGCCUGUGUACAAUGUUGAAGAUGCCCAGGAAAUAGAGGAUAAUAAAAUAGCCAAUAAGAGAUUACAGCAGCAAGUGCUGACCUUGAAAGCCCAGCUCAGGGACCAGGCUGCAUUACAAAAUCAGUUUCACAGCUUGCAAAAUGAAGUGGAACUCCUUCAGACUCAGCUAUGUGAAAAGACAAAAGAACUUCAGAAGAGAAAGUCUGAUGUGAAGCUGAUGCUAGCUCCUCUGAAGGCUAAGUUGGCUUGCCUCACACGAAAAUGCCAGGAAAGGAACAGCUUCAUUACCAGGAUGCACAGUGAAUUUCACCAGCAAGGAUUUAAGAACUCCGCAUUUGAUGAAGAGGUGAGAUGCCUGGUGAACGACAUGGCCAUGGCAGAGUACUCAGCCACUUUUACACCAAUGUGUGAUCAAGAGAUGCUGCCUUCUUCCACAGACAUUUCAGAGGCCAGUGGACAGCCAGAGGAUCACGAGACAUAUGUCAGAGUGAACAGGAUGAUAGGGUCAAAACCUGCAAACUCUGUCCGAGAGGUGGAUGGCAUCCACAGUUCUCACAUCUCUCCAAAUGUGUAUGCCAGUUCUCCUAUAAAAUUAAGAAGCCCGGAGAAGAUCAUAGCCUUGCAUCGGGAACUAAGACAAAACCAUUGCAAAAAUUGCCAGAUACCUUCAGCUGAUCCCUCCAAUGCGAACCCCACGGGUGACCGCAACCUGCCCAUGAUCCAGGAGGAAACCCCUUGGCCUCCGCUCUCAAAGAUGAAGGAGACACUGAAGCCUUCAGAGCAUGGUGCUUCCUGGGCCAUAAAAGGGAGGGACCGCUUGUCCAAACGGGAUGAUGUAUUUUGGGGUCAAAUAGGAAAUCAGCAUGCAGGUGCUAUUCCCCAGGGAAAGAAACAGAAAAAUGUCAUUACAAAUAAUGCAUGGCUCUCUAGAGAUAAAACAGAUGGCUCAACCUCAGCUACCACUGCAAAAAACUAUUUGUCAGACGUGUUGUCAGCAAGUAAUAAAGGUUGAAAUCCUGUGGGGAGAAAUCAGCUGCACGGGAAAGAAUAUAAACCUCAGAAAUAAAACCAGGUAAGAAAAAGUACUCACUGGGCACAGACAGAACUUUUGGAGCUAUGACUGAUAUUGCAAGCUGAGUUCCUUAUCAGACCUUGUAAGGGAACAAUGUAUUGCUCACAUAGAAGAAGCAAUACUGCUCUGAAGAAACUCUGAAAAGUUUUUUGACCUGGAGGUUACCACAGCUGCUUCGUUAUGGGAAAACUGAGAAGCUGCACUGAUUUACCAUCUGCCUUGUUUUAGCCACAACCUGUAGUGAAAGUUGGCUUUGUGAGCCAAACUGCUGCGUAGUUUGAGAUUUUAUUUGUUUGUUUGUUUGUUUUUCUUAGGAUCUCAGCAUUUGCAUUUUAAAGAAAAUUCUAUGUUAAGUACAGACCUCAGUCUUUAUGGGUCUGCUUAUGUGGGCAUGUAAUAUCUUCAGCCUCGUAUGGUCUUGAGAAUUGCUAAACAAUGCUUUGAUCUGAGUUAGGAUGCUGAGUAAUUCUGAGGACAUGUUACUUGAAGUGCUGGCUAUGAAAUGAGAUUUUUAAAAGGGUAAGUAGGAAUUGAGGAGGCACUUGGAACAUCAGAACACUGUGUCAUAAUACUAUAGAUUGAUUAUUUCAACCACAUGAAUAGGCCACACUGAAUUUAAUUUUUGGAUAAGUUAUUCACAUGCAUACUUUCUUUUCCUGAAAUAGGUGUUUUUGUGCACACUGGUUGGUAAUAUUACAUGUAGUUGCAAAAUGUUUUUUGCAUCACUAUGUAUAAAGUAAGUUUAUGCACCCAUAUCCCUGCUAUUCAUAUCUGAAUACCUAUUUGUGAAGGCAGGGAGAUGUGAACACUCGUGCAUAUGGAUAUGUACAUUCCUUUUUUAACUAAAGGCUUGCACACAUCACUGUUGAAGGCAAUACUCAGGUUGACCUGAGUGGGAGUAGCUAUGGGUACUGCUCUCCAAAACACUCCCUUACAGUGUAAUGCACUUUCAGUGUUGAUAACUGUUUUAUGACUUCUAUUUCCUCUUUUUAUAUUUUUUAUUUUUUUAAUGUUGAGCUAGAUGCUAGAAUGUGCUGCUCUUUACAAAGCUUUGUCUCCCAGUAAUAGCAGAUAUUCUUUGAAAGGAGGCAGAAGUGGAAACUGUGGAAUCCCAGAUCAGAUUAAUGUAAUGUGCAUUUCUAGAUUAUGAUUAGUAACAAGAUGACACGUUGGCAUGGUAACACUUGAAGCUUAACUACAAGUUCUUAAAAUAAAGCAAUGACAUAUGUGUAGGUUUCUCUCCAUGUGCGUCCCCUCCACCUGAAAACAUGUAUCAUUUCCACAACUCUCAGGCAAUUAAACCCUACUUCUUACUUUUGAAUUAAGUGCUGAACUAAAACAUCAUGCCUCUUUCCUAGUAGUUAUGCAUAAUAUCCCACCAUGAGUUAUAAAUGUUGAUAAUGAACCUGUGCAUUUUGUGACAUCUUAGGCUUUCUGCCAUUAGGUUUCAUUUAAAAAUGAUUAGCAUAAAGAACAUAAAGCAUGCAUCAUUCCUUGAGAUCCACAUUGAUCUUUAAAUUCUGCCACCUCCUAAUAUGAAAAUCGUCUUACCAAUAUUGGAAAACCGUGUUUAUUAUUUAAAUUGACAGACUGGUGGGUGCAUUUCAUGUGGCUGAGGAUUGGCAAGUAAAAUCCUAACUUUACCUGAAAUCACUGUAAUAAAGUGGUAAAGUUUUUAAUGUGAGAUUAUCAGCUGAGACUGAGAGCCUAGCUAUUAUUUUCUGGUUGGCUUAUGGUGGAAAGUGCUGUCUAGUUGCUAUAGAGUCUGUUCAGUUUCCUUUCACUAAGCAGGAGCUAACCUGUUUAGAUGUGCUGUCUAUGGCAAAUGUGCCAGGCGCUGCUUUACAUGUGUCAUUGUUUUGUGUUAAACUUUCUCAGAAUGCAAAAUGGGGCACUUUGUUCAGAUUGCUUUAUAUGCACAAUAUUGCUUUGACCAAAUUCCUUACAGCCAGAGAAUCGAGAUGCUGCUAAGUUCUGCCUAAGUAAAUACAGCCUUCUUCUCUCACCCUAUGUGGACAAAAUGGGCAGUAUUACAUUAAGAUUUCUUUGGCAGUUCAUUUAUUCCCAUAUACUGUACAGUAUAGAGCAUCACAAGAUAUUGAAAAUGCAGCUUACGGUAUUUCCACAGCUCCUUUUGCAACCUUGAGACCCUGAAUUCUAUUCUUCACACCAAUAUGUAUGGCAUAUGCUGGGAGUACAGUGAUUGACUCCUGCACGAUAAUCAUGUUACAUUCAGAAUAAUACAGUUGCCAGGAAAUAUUUCACAUACGCACUUCAGUUCCCAAGUUAAACCUUCUGCUAAGGCAUGGCUGAUGUUUGUCCUUGUGGGCUUUUAAAAAGUGGAAGCCCAGAUCUGUGCUUCACAAAUCAACCUGCAUUUCUAACUUGCAGAUGAAGGACUUCAGUAUUUGAAUUUUCCAUGGUCGUGGGGUGGAGGGAGGGACAUGUGCAUGCUGGGUUUUGCCACUAAUCCUUCAGAAAUCCUUUAGUGCCUUAAGGAGGCAGAGGGGAAACAGACAUGAGGAUUACAGAAAUUUGCUCAAACCUCUUUCCUGCUUCAGCAGAGUUCCUUUAAAAUAUAUUGUGCCUUUGGCUCCAAAUAUAUUUGCAUUAGAAAUCAGUAGCUAUGGGAUUAUAGACAGGAAUUUUUGUCCCUGUACAAAUGUUAGGAAAGAAAGUAUACUGUUUCUUAUGUAGGAUGUGAAUUAAAAAUACAGCUAACAAGUUCUACGUUGGCAUCCAUACACAAACUAUUAUUUGACAAUGACUUGCAAGUUGAAGGUAAAGCCAAAA